This 71-nucleotide transfer RNA is filed under the name Russula ochroleuca. It matches the Rfam family "tRNA". Rfam says of the family: Transfer RNA (tRNA) molecules are approximately 80 nucleotides in length. Their secondary structure includes four short double-helical elements and three loops (D, anti-codon, and T loops). Further hydrogen bonds mediate the characteristic L-shaped molecular structure. tRNAs have two regions of fundamental functional importance: the anti-codon, which is responsible for specific mRNA codon recognition, and the 3' end, to which the tRNAs corresponding amino acid is attached (by aminoacyl-tRNA synthetases). tRNAs cope with the degeneracy of the genetic code in two manners: having more than one tRNA (with a specific anti-codon) for a particular amino acid; and 'wobble' base-pairing, i.e. permitting non-standard base-pairing at the 3rd anti-codon position. The record is from Rfam by way of RNAcentral. Lineage: Eukaryota; Fungi; Basidiomycota; Agaricomycetes; Russulales; Russulaceae.
GGUCAGGUAGCUCAGUGGUAGAGCACCUGGUAUAUAUCCAGAUAACCUGGGUUCAAAUCCCAGUCUGGUCA